GUAUUAGCAAGCAAUAGGAAGAGCUAUGUAUGCACAUUUUGUCUAUAAGGAUAUUCUUGAGAUUAAUAUUUGGGAUUAUUUUUCCUCUUCAUUUUCCAACAGAGCUCAUGAAGACAUGAAGUUUCUCUCUGCUGUUUUCUUUCUCCUCCAAGUCCCCAGCCCAUGGAACAUUUGUCUGCUGUUGUUACUUCACCAAACAACCUCCCGCCCCCCAUCACUAGCACCUCUUUCUCUACUGACUCUUAAAUGAGACGUGUUCCAGGAUCUUACACCUGGUCUCAGAAUUUUGGCGUCUGUGGUUUGAAUGUUCUGAUCUGUAACCUCAAGACCGCGUUUGGAGAUCCGAAGAUGUUGAGUGAGAUUAAUGUACAUUGAGCAAUCUUGCCUGAAUGAUGAAUCCUCUAUAAAAAUCCCAGCCUAUGGACUUUGGUGAGUGACCGUGUUGACAAGCACACUUGCCUACUGGGAGGACAGUGUGUGCUGACUCUGCAGGAACAGCAUUUCCUUCACUCAGGACUCUUCUGG
This 525-nucleotide long non-coding RNA is filed under the name Fukomys damarensis (Damara mole-rat). RNAcentral's name for it is "lncRNA (ENSFDAG00000028016.1)". Lineage: Eukaryota; Metazoa; Chordata; Mammalia; Rodentia; Bathyergidae. The record is from RNAcentral.